Molecule: ribosomal RNA, 786 nt
Filed under: Planococcus sp. PF54
Lineage: Bacteria; Bacillati; Bacillota; Bacilli; Caryophanales; Caryophanaceae
Description: bacterial SSU rRNA
Rfam family: Bacterial small subunit ribosomal RNA
Source: RNAcentral
GACGGGUGAGUAACACGUGGGCAACCUGCCCUGCAGAUCGGGAUAACUCCGGGAAACCGGUGCUAAUACCGAAUAGUUUGCGGCCUCUCCUGAGGCUGCACGGAAAGACGGUUUCGGCUGUCACUGCACGAUGGGCCCGCGGCGCAUUAGCUAGUUGGUGGGGUAAUGGCCCACCAAGGCGACGAUGCGAAGCCGACCUGAGAGGGUGAUCGGACACACUGGGACUGAGACACGGCCCAGACUCCUACGGGAGGCAGCAGUAUGGAAUCUUCCGCAAUGAACGAAAGUCUGACGGACCAACGCCGCGUGAGUGACGAAGGUUUUCGGAUCGUAAAACUCUGUUGUGAGGGAAGAACACGUGCCAAGUAACUACUGGCAUUUUGACGGUACCUCACCAUAAAGCCACGGCUAACUACGUGCCACCAGCCGCGGAAAUACGUAUGUGGCAAGCGUUGUCCGGAAUUAUUGAGCGUAAAGCGCGCGCAGGCGGUCCUUUAAGUCUGAUGUGAAAGCCCACGGCUCAACCGUGGAGGGUCAUUGGAAACUGGAGGACUUGAGUGCAUAACAGGAAAGUGGAAUUCCAUGUGUAGCGGUGAAAUGCCUAGAGAUGUGGAGGAACACCAGUGGCGAAGGCGACUUUCUGGUCUGUAACUGACGCUGAUGCGCGAAAGCGUGUGGAGCAAACACGAUUAAAUACCCUGGUAGUCCACGCCAUAUACGAUGACUGCUAAGUGUUAUGGGGUUUCCGCCCCUUAGUGCUGCACCUAACGCAUUAAUCACUCCGCC